RNAcentral lists this ribosomal RNA (319 nucleotides) under uncultured bacterium. RNAcentral describes it as "bacterial SSU rRNA". It matches the Rfam family "Bacterial small subunit ribosomal RNA", at positions 28 to 334 of the family's 1533-position model. The record is from RNAcentral.
GACGAACGCUGGCGGCAUGCCUAACACAUGCAAGUCGAACGGAGAAUCACUUCGGUGAUUCUUAGUGGCGAACGGGUGAGUAACGCGUAGGCAACCUGCCCUUUGGAUGGGGACAACAUUCCGAAAGGAGUGCUAAUACCGAAUGUGACAAGAGAAUCGCAUGACUCUCUUGUGAAAGAUGGCCUCUACAUGUAAGCUAUCGCCAAAGGAUGGGCCUGCGUCUGAUUAGCUAGUUGGUGGGGUAACGGCUCACCAAGGCGACGAUCAGUAGCCGGUCUGAGAGGAUGAACGGCCACAUUGGGACUGAGACACGGCCCAG